Molecule: ribosomal RNA, 464 nt
Filed under: Vreelandella stevensii
Lineage: Bacteria; Pseudomonadati; Pseudomonadota; Gammaproteobacteria; Oceanospirillales; Halomonadaceae
Description: partial 16S ribosomal RNA
Rfam family: Bacterial small subunit ribosomal RNA
Source: RNAcentral
CCACGGGCGGCUGCAGUGGGGAAUAUUGGACAAUGGGCGAAAGCCUGAUCCAGCCAUGCCGCGUGUGUGAAGAAGGCCUUCGGGUUGUAAAGCACUUUCAGUGGGGAAGAAAGCCUUGGGGCUAAUACCCUCGAGGAAGGACAUCACCCACAGAAGAAGCACCGGCUAACUCCGUGCCAGCAGCCGCGGUAAUACGGAGGGUGCGAGCGUUAAUCGGAAUUACUGGGCGUAAAGCGCGCGUAGGCGGUCUGAUAAGCCGGUUGUGAAAGCCCCGGGCUCAACCUGGGAACGGCAUCCGGAACUGUCAGGCUAGAGUGCAGGAGAGGAAGGUAGAAUUCCCGGUGUAGCGGUGAAAUGCGUAGAGAUCGGGAGGAAUACCAGUGGCGAAGGCGGCCUUCUGGACUGACACUGACGCUGAGGUGCGAAAGCGUGGGUAGCAAACAGGAUUAGAUACCCCUGUAGUC